RNAcentral lists this ribosomal RNA (446 nucleotides) under uncultured bacterium. RNAcentral's name for it is "partial 16S ribosomal RNA". It matches the Rfam family "Bacterial small subunit ribosomal RNA", at positions 338 to 795 of the family's 1533-position model. The record is from RNAcentral.
CCUACGGGUGGCUGCAGUCGAGAAUCAUUCACAAUGGGGGAAACCCUGAUGGAGCGACGCCGCGUGGGGGAAUGAAGUUCUUCGGAUUGUAAACCCCUUUCAUGUGGGAGCAAAUUAAAAAGAUAGUACCACAAGAGGAAGAGACUGCUAACUCUGUGCCAGCAGCCGCGGUAAUACAGAGGUCUCAAGCGUGGUUCGGAAUCACUGGGCGUAAAGCGUGCGUAGGAGGUUUCGUAAGUCGUGUGUGAAAGGCGAGGGCUCAACCCGCGGACGGCACAUGAUACUGCGAGACUAGAGUAAUGGAGGGGUAAGCGGAAUUCGCGGUGUAGCAGUGAAAUGCGUAGAUAUCGAGAGGAACACUCGUGGCGAAGGCGGGUUCCUGGACAUUAACUGACGCUGAGGCACGAAGGCCAGGGGAGCGAAAGGGAUUAGAUACCCGGGUAGUC